GUGCUCGCUUUGGCAGCACAUAUACUAAAAUUGGAACGAUACUGAGAAGAUUAGCAUGGCUCCUGCACAAGGAUGACACACAAAUUCGUGAAGCGUUCCAUAUUUUU
Oryctolagus cuniculus (rabbit) is the source of this 107-nucleotide small nuclear RNA. Lineage: Eukaryota; Metazoa; Chordata; Mammalia; Lagomorpha; Leporidae. The record is from Ensembl.